RNAcentral lists this ribosomal RNA (468 nucleotides) under uncultured bacterium. RNAcentral describes it as "partial 16S ribosomal RNA". It matches the Rfam family "Bacterial small subunit ribosomal RNA", at positions 28 to 507 of the family's 1533-position model. The record is from RNAcentral.
GACGAACGCUGGCGGCGUGCUUAACACAUGCAAGUCGAACGGAAAGGCCCUGCUUUUGUGGGGUUCUCGAGUGGCGAACGGGUGAGUAACACGUGAGUAACCUGCCCUUGACUUUGGGAUAACUUCAGGAAACUGGGGCUAAUACCGUAUAGGAGCUCCUGCUGCAUGGUGGGGGUUGGAAAGUUUCGGCGGUUGGGGAUGGACUCGCGGCUUAUCAGCUUGUUGGUGGGGUAGUGGCUUACCAAGGCUUUGACGGGUAGCCGGCCUGAGAGGGUGAACGGCCACAUUGGGACUGCGAUACGGACCAGACUCCUACGGGAGGCAGCAGUGGGGAAUAUUGCACAAUGGGCGGAAGCCUGAUGCAGAAACGCCGCGUGCGGGAUGACGGCCUUCGGGUUGUAAAACGCUUUCGCCUGUGACGAAGCGUGAGUGACGGUAAUGGGUAAAGAAGCACCGGCUAACUACGUG